This 253-nucleotide ribosomal RNA is filed under the name uncultured bacterium. Its description in RNAcentral is "partial 16S ribosomal RNA". It matches the Rfam family "Bacterial small subunit ribosomal RNA", at positions 524 to 776 of the family's 1533-position model. The record is from RNAcentral.
UACGGAGGAUCCAAGCGUUAUCCGGAUUUAUUGGGUUUAAAGGGUGCGUAGGCGGCCUAUUAAGUCAGGGGUGAAAGCCGGUAGCUUAACUAUCGCAGUGCCCUUGAUACUGAUGGGCUUGAAUAUACUAGAGGUAGGCGGAAUGUGACAAGUAGCGGUGAAAUGCAUAGAUAUGUCACAGAACACCAAUUGCGAAGGCAGCUUACUAUGGUAUUAUUGACGCUGAGGCACGAAAGCGUGGGGAUCAAACAGG